UAGCCUAGUGGUUAAGGCUAUGGAUCGCCAAUUCGAAGACGGCGGGUUCGAUUCCCGU
This is a non-coding RNA of Aedes albopictus (Asian tiger mosquito), 58 nucleotides long. NCBI's taxonomy places the organism in Eukaryota, Metazoa, Arthropoda, Insecta, Diptera, Culicidae. The record is from Rfam.